Molecule: ribosomal RNA, 502 nt
Filed under: Shigella boydii
Lineage: Bacteria; Pseudomonadati; Pseudomonadota; Gammaproteobacteria; Enterobacterales; Enterobacteriaceae
Description: bacterial SSU rRNA
Rfam family: Bacterial small subunit ribosomal RNA
Source: RNAcentral
GCAUGGCUGUCGUCAGCUCGUGUUGUGAAAUGUUGGGUUAAGUCCCGCAACGAGCGCAACCCUUAUCCUUUGUUGCCAGCGGUCCGGCCGGGAACUCAAAGGAGACUGCCAGUGAUAAACUGGAGGAAGGUGGGGACGACGUCAAGUCAUCAUGGCCCUUACGACCAGGGCUACACACGUGCUACAAUGGCGCAUACAAAGAGAAGCGACCUCGCGAGAGCAAGCGGACCUCAUAAAGUGCGUCGUAGUCCGGAUUGGAGUCUGCAACUCGACUCCAUGAAGUCGGAAUCGCUAGUAAUCGUGGAUCAGAAUGCCACGGUGAAUACGUUCCCGGGCCUUGUACACACCGCCCGUCACACCAUGGGAGUGGGUUGCAAAAGAAGUAGGUAGCUUAACCUUUGGGAGGGCGCUUACCACUUUGUGAUUCAUGACUGGGGUGAAGUCGUAACAAGGUAACCGUAGGGGAACCUGCGGUUGGAUCACCUCCUUACCUUAAAGAAGC